UACAGGGGGGGCAAGCGUUGUUCGGAAUUACUGGGCGUAAAGGGCUCGUAGGCGGCCAACUAAGUCAGACGUGAAAUCCCUCGGCUUAACCGGGGAACUGCGUCUGAUACUGGAUGGCUUGAGUUUGGGAGAGGGAUGCGGAAUUCCAGGUGUAGCGGUGAAAUGCGUAGAUAUCUGGAGGAACACCGGUGGCGAAGGCGGCAUCCUGGACCAACACUGACACUGAGGAGCGAAAGCCAGGGGAGCAAACGGG
This 253-nucleotide ribosomal RNA is filed under the name uncultured bacterium. RNAcentral describes it as "partial 16S ribosomal RNA". It matches the Rfam family "Bacterial small subunit ribosomal RNA", at positions 524 to 776 of the family's 1533-position model. The record is from RNAcentral.